Molecule: long non-coding RNA, 4747 nt
Organism: Halichondria panicea
Lineage: Eukaryota; Metazoa; Porifera; Demospongiae; Suberitida; Halichondriidae
Exons: 3
Source: RefSeq, a predicted model, not a curated record
UCAUUUGCAUUUCCAGAAAUUCAAGACAAUGUUUUAUCAGGCAUGGGUAAGCUUAACAAUAAAAAUAUUAAACGAGAAAGUGGUGAAAAUAUUUUUAUAUUGACAGGCGAAGAGUCGUAUGAAACAAUUGUAUGAAACAAUUAGUUCAGGACUAUCUGAGGUAUUGAAGGAGUUGAACGACAUUAUUUCACACCCACUACUCACUGUUGAUGAAACAGAGUACCGCCUUGAGUUUUUCCUGGCAAGAGAAUGUAUAAAAAGGCGCGCACUUCCCAGCAGUAAACGACUAGGAUCAAUUACAUCAAUUACAACACCACUACUGCAUAGAGCGAUGAGCUACACCUACUCCUACGUAUAGCUGACGUUUUAACAAGAAAUCUCAUUCUAGAGAUCUGCUAAACAAGACAGACAAGGAAACGACAGACUAGGAAACGCACACUCACCUACAAACACUACAGACGAGCAAGGGGUCCAGAUGGCAAAGCUUCAGGGCUUCAGGACAUUUCGAAUGGACGUUUCUGGAACGUCUAGUUUGCUGACCUACUGAAGGAAGAAAUUCAAGUGAGUACUAAAUUAUUUAUAUGGUCUGGCUCAAUGGUUUCUAGCUGGACUCCACCUCCCAGUGAAGUGGUUGAGCAAAAGGUAUAGUGUUAGUUUACUAGUAGGUCAUGAUAGGCGAAAGACCUUUUCUUGAGCUUGAAGCACAAGUGUCAAGGGUUUCAGGAAAAGAAUAUUACGCCCUAUAUGCACACACUGGUCUUUCACUUCCCUCACUUUAUUUCAAAAUACGGAAAUGUUUAGUGGGACAGUUCGAGUGUAAAGAGUGUAAAGAGAUAACAUUUUAAUCACCUUUUUCUCUAGGGGUGGAGAAAAAUAAUGAUGACGCCAAGAGACACGAAUAGACGAGACAUCACAAUUUAAGCGAAAGAAACGAAAGUACAAACUCCAUUAGAUUUAGUAGACAUAAACAAACAGCCACGACUUUACUCUAAUUCUACCCAACAUAAUAUAUAUUGCCAAAGUCUAAUUUUUCGAUGAUAAGUGGAGAUGAAAUAGAUGAAGGAAAAAGGAAAAGCACUACAAAGAAAAAGAAGGGCUGAAGAAUCUCCAGAAAACAAAUGGUGUGCUUGCCUGCAUCUGUAUUAAGAUUGUGCAUUUGUUUUUCAUGCAGGUAAAAUGCGGGUCUACCGGGAAGAAGGGUGUGUGUGGUGUGAACUAAGGUGUGAACUAAGGUACACAGUAUCAUACAGUGGAUCUGGAUCAGACUCAGACAAUGAUGUCAUGCAAGGUGCAAGAGUGCUUGGUCGCAUGUCGGGUAUGUUCUGAAGUAGGGUCAAAGGUUCAUGCAGUAUUGUUAUGUACAUCCGACUCAGACGUACAUGUACAUGAUAAUGUCACAAGCAAUGUCGCGCCAAGAAAAAGGGUACGUACCCGUUUUUUGUUCUUAAACAAAGGUCAAAGUGCAUGCAGUAUUGUUAUGUACAGACAGUGGGUUGUGAGAAUUCCUUGCCAGGUACCCAACUAAAAAUUCUUGUAAGAAUUUCGUCAGUUCUGUUCAGAUGGUGUCAGAUUGAUCCUGAUCAGUGUCUGUGUGCAAAAUCUCCAACAAAAGUCUGACUAGCCAAGUUUCAGGAUAUCAGAUUCUGUGAAUAUUCCAAUUGCAAUCUGACAAAAUUCAAACCAGCUAUAAUGUCAGAUAUGUCUUGUUGGUUUAAGUGAGUUUAAGUGAAUAAUCUGAUUGCACUGAUUGCAAUCUGACACUAGAUAAUGAUUCUACUUGCAUAUAAAUUAUGUUUUUCCGUGAACAAACUGAUACACUAUUAGUUCUACGUAUCUAAUAAAUUGCACACUUUCGUCAUCAAAGAGAACCAGGAUAAAGAGGUAUUCCCCAUCAGCCUCAACCUCAAGGACCUAUAAUCAAAUCAAAUAAUUGUUAGAAAUAAUUGUUAGAAAUGAAGAUCUGCAUCUUGAAUUGUUGUCUCAAUUAAAUUGGCAUGAAGCAGCCAUGUCUCUUAUUAUUAUAGAUUGAGUUGUAGAUGUGGCUGCUAAUUAUUAUAGCAGUAUGUAAACAAUAAUAGAACAAUAAUAGAACAAAUCUCUCAAAAUUGUUUGGUUGUCAGAAUGCUGGUUUGUCUUGACUAACACAGUCAGUUUAACCCUUUCCCGGCUUUAGCCGUCAUAUGACGGCAACGGUAGUGAUAAUUUUCAAAACAUGGUUGUGGGCACUGUGUUGGAGCUAUGCACACGCUGUAGGUACCAGCACAUGCGCAUUGGGCUGCUCUUUCACAUGGUAUCUUUAAUAUCUUGCCUCGAGGUACGCUUGGUGCAGUACUGUCGAAAGAAAAGUGACCGUUUGAUAAUGGCUACAAGAUCUUUGUAGUACAACCUCAGCGAGGUUCUAGGGCAGCUAGACAGUGAGAAUAACGAUGCUUAUGGCCUUGUUGAGUAAGAGGACAGUGACUGGGAUCAUACCAAGAGAGGAAACUACUUUUCAGAGGUCAAGCUAUAAAUAUAGAGCCUGAAGAACCGGUGGAAGAAGCUCCUGAGCAUGAACCAAAGUCCUGGACCUUGUGAAGAAAACAUUUCCCGGGAAAAGAGCGUCUGCCGAUACGACCUCGCAGAGAAGUUUCUGCUGAUCCUGAUUGAACCAUGUCACCGUGAGAACAUUGAGAACACUUAUUUAGUGUCUUUAGUUACUUAAUGCCUUCAUACAAUAUUGUUUAUGUUCAUAAUUGUGAAAUGUGUAAAAAAAUCGUUAAUUAGUGGGGGGUGGUCAGUUGCUAGGUAACGAUGAUGAUGUCAUGGUACCCCCAGGAUAUGGGCUACCUGUAGGAAAUAGUUGCAAGUGAUUACAAUGCAUGGUUCAUGAGAUAUGUAUUUUUAAAGAAAAAUGUGUAUUUAUUCUGUAUUUUGUUUUUUUAAUUAAAGCCGGGAAAGGGUUAAUAAUGCUUAAUAAUGCUUAAUGAGUGACAUGGUCUACAUGCUUGUACAAGUUUAGAGUUUAGAGUUCUCGACAAGGAUUUCAUGUCAAUUUUCGGACAAUGGUUCCUUUUCGAUUCGACAAAAGCUUGGUUUUCCACGAGAGUUACUGUAGGUACAGACAGUGCUGUCACGUUUGUCCCGUGAAUAGUAAACCACCCCAUUAUAAAAGGAAAAGGCACGACUGAAGGUGUUAACGUGUUGAGUACCGACUCUUCUUCGGUGACACUGGAUCGUCCUAUUUUGUAGAGAUGUUCACCCAUCUUUGCCUCGGGGUUUCUUGGUUGUGAUGAAAUCGAUGGUGUCACUGUCUUCACAUUUGCUUGUCGUCAUGGCAGCAAAUACCAGCUAUGGCACUUUCCAUGAAUCAUGUUUUUGAGUGCUGAUGAGUCCCCCAGUGUUGUAUAAAUUUGGGAAUGUGAGUUAGUGCAUGUGCAUGUGAAUUUCAGCUUCUUUCACCAUAGAGAAACUGUACAUAGUCCUUCAGUAGUUCUUCUGAGAUGAUUGGAGAAGGAAAUGAAUUGCUUUACUGCAACAAAGAGUGCGUAAUGGUGCAGGAGAAGUGGAAGGGAGUAAUAGGAGUAAUAGAGAGUGUAACUUGAGAUGAGCUGAUAGUGACCGAGGAGAGCGACUGAACUCGUGUGGGGGUUUUUGAUUCAACAAAUCUUCUCCUUAACAUACCGUCCGAGAUAAAAGGCUUCUCGGCCUUAUUUAGACUGCUAGCAAGGGCCGCACUAUCGAUCCAUUAAAUUGCUUCAUACUCAAGAUGGCAGCUUUGGUAAAGACUUUUUUACCAGCCGCAGCCGGUGUUAACAUUUCAAUACCAAUUUUACGGAUUAAUGGGUUUAAGCAGCGGAUGCAUGGCCGGUUUUUUUGAGCCACACCAAACAGCACACAAGAUAAUGUUUUCCUCGUUCAUUCGGAUAUGUGGUGGGAGAUUGUUAAUAACGAGGUACACUGGCCAAAAGCUCGGAAGAACCAUCUGUGUUAAUGGAGAGAGCCAAAUGUUCGGUGUAUGAGAAACCUGAUCUGAUUAUGCUUAUGCUACAAUUUUUUAUGGAAUUAUGCUCGCUUAUAGAAAUUUAAGUAGAGUAAGUAAUCAAACCUCGGACUAUACCUAUAUUCGGACGCGUUUUCCAUGGACUCAAAGCAGCUAUCCAGAUUUUAGCCACAUCUACAAGUCACUGGUGCUUGGUACUACCUAGCAGCCAACUCUCAGCCUGUUCCUCACAACGACGCACUGGUCACGAGCUCUCAAAAACGAGUCCGAAAUAAUCAAAAUACGGACGAAGGUACCGUUAUCCGGACACUACUUUAGACUGCGUAGCUUGAGAUAUUUCUAGUUUCUGUGCCUCCUGUACUUCUUCUUAGCUAGAUCUACCAUCAUGCAAAAAAUCAGCAGUGGCAGCUGCACAACAAACUCCAGAAACCAGACUGAAAAUAGCAGCCCCACCCACUAAUUUAGGAUCUCGGACACAGAGUUCACUUAAUGGUUAAAAGAAAAUCGAUCUCUACCAGAGCCCAGAAAGUCCUAUACAGUAAAGAUGAUACCACCUGGAGCACACAUCACAACUGAUCCACACAGGGAACUCUAUCCCGCUCUUUUGUACAGAGCAAUCAGUAGCAGAACAAAAAGAAUCGUCCUCGAGCACUACAGGGUAAAUACAUGGAACUCCCUAACCACUAUUUCUUUUUAUUGCGUUUGUACAUGACGUUAAUUGAGACGAGUAACAUGCAUAUAUAGUGACAUUGUCAUUUAGGAACUUGA